RNAcentral lists this ribosomal RNA (463 nucleotides) under Nitratidesulfovibrio vulgaris. RNAcentral describes it as "bacterial SSU rRNA". It matches the Rfam family "Bacterial small subunit ribosomal RNA", at positions 328 to 783 of the family's 1533-position model. The record is from RNAcentral. Lineage: Bacteria; Pseudomonadati; Thermodesulfobacteriota; Desulfovibrionia; Desulfovibrionales; Desulfovibrionaceae.
GGCCCAGACUCCUACGGGAGGCAGCAGUGGGGAAUAUUGCGCAAUGGGCGAAAGCCUGACGCAGCGACGCCGCGUGAGGGAUGAAGGUCCUCGGAUCGUAAACCUCUGUCAGGAGGGAAGAACCGCCACGGUGCUAAUCAGCCGUGGUCUGACGGUACCUCCAAAGGAAGCACCGGCUAACUCCGUGCCAGCAGCCGCGGUAAUACGGAGGGUGCGAGCGUUAAUCGGAAUCACUGGGCGUAAAGCGCACGUAGGCUGCUUGGUAAGACAGGGGUGAAAGCCCGCGGCUCAGCCGCGGAAUUGCCUUUGAUACUGCCGAGCUAGAGUCCGGGAGAGGGUAGUGUAAUUCCAGGUGUAGGAGUGAAAUCCGUAGAGAUCUGGAGGAACAUCAGUGGCGAAGGCGACUACCUGGACCGGGACUGACGCUGAGGUGCGAAAGCGUGGGGAGCAAACAGGAUUAAAC